UUAAGCGACUAAGCGUACACGGUGGAUGCCCUGGCAGUCAGAGGCGAUGAAGGACGUGCUAAUCUGCGAAAAGCGCCGGCGAGGUGAUAUGAACCUUUGACCCGGCGAUGUCCGAAUGGGGAAACCCAGUGCAAUCCGUUGCACUAUCGUUAACUGAAUACAUAGGUUAACGAGGCGAACCGGGGGAACUGAAACAUCUAAGUACCCCGAGGAAAAGAAAUCAACCGAGAUUCCCCCAGUAGCGGCGAGCGAACGGGGAGCAGCCCGGAGUCUGAAUCAGCUUGUGUGUUAGUGGAACGGUCUGGAAAGUCCGACGGUACAGGGUGAUAGUCCCGUACACGAAAGCACACUUGCUGUGAACUCGAAGAGUAGGGCGGGACACGUGGUAUCCUGUCUGAAUAUGGGGGGACCAUCCUCCAAGGCUAAAUACUCCUGACUGACCGAUAGUGAACCAGUACCGUGAGGGAAAGGCGAAAAGAACCCCGGCGAGGGGAGUGAAAAAGAACCUGAAACCGUGUACGUACAAGCAGUGGGAGCCUCUUUAUGGGGUGACUGCGUACCUUUUGUAUAAUGGGUCAGCGACUUAUAUUCUGUAGCAAGGUUAACCGUAUAGGGGAGCCGAAGGGAAACCGAGUCUUAACUGGGCGUUAAGUUGCAGGGUAUAGACCCGAAACCCGGUGAUCUAGCCAUGGGCAGGUUGAAGGUUGGGUAACACUAACUGGAGGACCGAACCGACUAAUGUUGAAAAAUUAGCGGAUGACCUGUGGCUGGGGGUGAAAGGCCAAUCAAACCGGGAGAUAGCUGGUUCUCCCCGAAAGCUAUUUAGGUAGCGCCUCGUGAACUCAUCUUCGGGGGUAGAGCACUGUUUCGGCUAGGGGGCCAUCCCGGCUUACCAACCCGAUGCAAACUACGAAUACCGAAGAAUGUUAUCACGGGAGACACACGGCGGGUGCUAACGUCCGUCGUGAAGAGGGAAACAACCCAGACCGCCAGCUAAGGUCCCAAAGUCAUGGUUAAGUGGGAAACGAUGUGGGAAGGCACAGACAGCCAGGAUGUUGGCUUAGAAGCAGCCAUCAUUUAAAGAAAGCGUAAUAGCUCACUGGUCGAGUCGGCCUGCGCGGAAGAUGUAACGGGGCUAAACCAUGCACCGAAGCUGCGGCAGCGACACUAUGUGUUGUUGGGUAGGGGAGCGUUCUGUAAGCCGUUGAAGGUGUGCUGUGAGGCAUGCUGGAGGUAUCAGAAGUGCGAAUGCUGACAUAAGUAACGAUAAAGCGGGUGAAAAGCCCGCUCGCCGGAAGACCAAGGGUUCCUGUCCAACGUUAAUCGGGGCAGGGUGAGUCGACCCCUAAGGCGAGGCCGAAAGGCGUAGUCGAUGGGAAACAGGUUAAUAUUCCUGUACUUGGUGUUACUGCGAAGGGGGGACGGAGAAGGCUAUGUCAGCCGGGCGACGGUUGUCCCGGUUUAAGCAUGUAGGCGGAGGUUCCAGGUAAAUCCGGUACCUUUUAACGCUGAGGUGUGAUGACGAGGCACUACGGUGCUGAAGUGAUAAAUGCCCUGCUUCCAGGAAAAGCCUCUAAGCAUCAGGUAACACGAAAUCGUACCCCAAACCGACACAGGUGGUCAGGUAGAGAAUACCAAGGCGCUUGAGAGAACUCGGGUGAAGGAACUAGGCAAAAUGGUGCCGUAACUUCGGGAGAAGGCACGCUGAUGUGUAGGUGAAGCCCCUGCGGGUGGAGCUGAAAUCAGUCGAAGAUACCAGCUGGCUGCAACUGUUUAUUAAAAACACAGCACUGUGCAAACACGAAAGUGGACGUAUACGGUGUGACGCCUGCCCGGUGCCGGAAGGUUAAUUGAUGGGGUUAGCGGCAACGCGAAGCUCUUGAUCGAAGCCCCGGUAAACGGCGGCCGUAACUAUAACGGUCCUAAGGUAGCGAAAUUCCUUGUCGGGUAAGUUCCGACCUGCACGAAUGGCGUAAUGAUGGCCAGGCUGUCUCCACCCGAGACUCAGUGAAAUUGAACUCGCUGUGAAGAUGCAGUGUACCCGCGGCAAGACGGAAAGACCCCGUGAACCUUUACUAUAGCUUGACACUGAACACUGGUCCUUGAUGUGUAGGAUAGGUGGGAGGCUUUGAAGCGUGGACGCCAGUCUGCGUGGAGCCAACCUUGAAAUACCACCCUUUAAUGGCUGGUGUUCUAACGUAGACCCGUAAUCCGGGUUGCGGACAGUGUCUGGUGGGUAGUUUGACUGGGGCGGUCUCCUCCCAAAGAGUAACGGAGGAGCACGAAGGUUGGCUAAUCCUGGUCGGACAUCAGGAGGUUAGUGCAAUGGCAUAAGCCAGCUUGACUGCGAGCGUGACGGCGCGAGCAGGUGCGAAAGCAGGUCAUAGUGAUCCGGUGGUUCUGAAUGGAAGGGCCAUCGCUCAACGGAUAAAAGGUACUCCGGGGAUAACAGGCUGAUACCGCCCAAGAGUUCAUAUCGACGGCGGUGUUUGGCACCUCGAUGUCGGCUCAUCACAUCCUGGGGCUGAAGUAGGUCCCAAGGGUAUGGCUGUUCGCCAUUUAAAGUGGUACGCGAGCUGGGUUUAGAACGUCGUGAGACAGUUCGGUCCCUAUCUGCCGUGGGCGCUGGAGAAUUGAGGGGGGCUGCUCCUAGUACGAGAGGACCGGAGUGGACGCAUCACUGGUGUUCGGGUUGUCAUGCCAAUGGCACUGCCCGGUAGCUAAAUGCGGAAGAGAUAAGUGCUGAAAGCAUCUAAGCACGAAACUUGCCCCGAGAUGAGUUCUCCCUGAGACCUUGAGUCUCCUGAAGGAACGUUGAAGACGACGACGUUGAUAGGUCGGGUGUGUAAGCGCAGCGAUGCGUUGAGCUAACCGAUACUAAUGAACCGUGAGGCUUAACCU
Molecule: ribosomal RNA, 2901 nt
Filed under: Enterobacter hormaechei
Lineage: Bacteria; Pseudomonadati; Pseudomonadota; Gammaproteobacteria; Enterobacterales; Enterobacteriaceae
Description: 23S ribosomal RNA
Rfam family: Bacterial large subunit ribosomal RNA
Source: RNAcentral